UUGAUCGAUGUCAUAUUAAAAGGUUGUAAGACUGCACUUUAAUCUACCUGGAACAAUAGAGGUACCUAAUGGUUUUGGAAUUGGAUUACGGUCGAUACACCUGAUGAUACUGUGCGCCAUUCAUAGGGACAAGAAGGGGUGAAACUAAGAAAGGGCAAUAAAUUUAUAACCAUGUUGUGCUUGAUAGACGUUUGAAGGCCCUCCUAAUAUGUUAAGUCACUUUGUACAUUUUGGCUAUACAAACAAACAAGAGUAGGAUUCAUAUAUGAAAUUUCUUUUGAAUGGUUGUGAUUUUGAGACCAAUCGAGAAAGCUGAUUGACUUUCAAUUUUGUGGUA
This is a long non-coding RNA of Cornus florida, 337 nucleotides long. RefSeq lists it as uncharacterized. The record is from RefSeq and is a predicted model, not a curated record. NCBI's taxonomy places the organism in Eukaryota, Viridiplantae, Streptophyta, Magnoliopsida, Cornales, Cornaceae. The transcript has 2 exons.